UACGUAGGGGGCAAGCGUUGUCCGGAAUCAUUGGGCGUAAAGCGCGCGUAGGCGGCCCUGUAAGUCCGUUGUGAAAGUCAAAGGCUCAACCUUUGAAAGCCGAUGGAUACUGCAGGGCUAGAGUCCGGAAGAGGCGAGUGGAAUUCCUGGUGUAGCGGUGAAAUGCGCAGAUAUCAGGAGGAACACCGAUGGCGAAGGCAGGUCUCUGGGCCAUAACUGACGCUGAGAAGCGAAAGCAUGGGGAGCGAACAGG
RNAcentral lists this ribosomal RNA (253 nucleotides) under uncultured bacterium. RNAcentral's name for it is "partial 16S ribosomal RNA". It matches the Rfam family "Bacterial small subunit ribosomal RNA", at positions 524 to 776 of the family's 1533-position model. The record is from RNAcentral.